RNAcentral lists this long non-coding RNA (1146 nucleotides) under Salmo salar (Atlantic salmon). RNAcentral's name for it is "lncRNA (ENSSSAG00000107598.1)". The stretch from base 53 to 107 matches the Rfam family "UnaL2 LINE 3' element". Lineage: Eukaryota; Metazoa; Chordata; Actinopteri; Salmoniformes; Salmonidae. The record is from RNAcentral.
UUCCCACGGGAGGCCAGCACAGAAAAAAAUGUAUGAAAUUGUAUGAAAUGUAUGCAUUCACUACUGUAAGUCGCUCUGGAUAAGAGCGUCUGCUAAAAUGACUAAAAUGUAAGGUCAACAUGCAGGGAAACAUCUAUACAUUAGUGAAGGACUGGUCAACAUGCAGGGAAACAUCCAUAUAGUAGUGAAGGUCAACAUGCAGGGAAACAUCUAUACAGUAGUGAAGAUCAACAUGCAGCGAAACAUCUAUACAUGAUUGAAGGUCAACAUGCAGGGAAACAUCUAUACCGUAGUGAAGGUCAACAUGCAGGGAAACAUCUAUACAGUAGUGAAGGUCAACAUGCAUGGAAACAUCUAUACAGUAGUGAAGGUCAACAUGCAGGGAAACAUGUAUACAGUAGUGAAGGUCAACAUGCAGGGAAACAUCUAUACAGUAGUGAAGGUCAACGUGCAGGGAAACAUCUAUACAGUAGUGAAGGUCAACGUGCAGGGAAACAUCCAUAUAGUAGUGAAGGACUGGUAAACAUGCAAGGAAACAUCCAUAUAGUAGUGAAGGACUGGUAAACAUGCAGGGAAACAUCUAUACAGUAGUGAAGGUCAACAUGCAGGGAAACAUCUAUACAGUAGUGAAAGUCAACAUGCAGGGAAACAUCUAUACAGUAGUGAAGGUCAACAUACAGGGAAACAUCUAUACAGUAGUGAAGGUCAACAUGCAGGGAAACAUCCAUAUAGUAGUGAAGGUCAACAUGCAGGGAAACAUCCAUAUAGUAUUGAAGGACUGGUAAACAUGCAGGGAAACAUCUAUACAGUAGUGAAGAUCAACAUGCAGGGAAACAUCUAUACAGUAGUGAAGGUCAACAUGCAGGGAAACAUCCAUAUAGUAUUGAAGGGCUGAUCCACAUGCAGGAAAACAUCCAUAUAGUAGUGAAGUGCUGGUCAACAUACAGGGAAACAUCUAUACAGUAGUGAAAGUCAACAUGAAGGGAAACAUCCAUGUAGUAGUGAAGGACUGGUAAACAUGCAGGGAAACAUCUAUACAGUAGUGAAGAUCAACAUGCAGGGAAACAUCUAUACAGUAGUGAAGGUCAACAUGCAGGGAAACAUCCAUAUAGUAUUGAAGGGCUGAUCAACAUGCAGGAAAACAUC